GAGAAGACUGGUGGGCUACAGUCCAUGGGGUCACAAAGAGUCGGACACUACAGUGUGACUAACACACACCAUCCUUACAGUGUCAGAACCUCUGAUCCAACAUUGCCAUUUUGAGUGAUUACUUUCGCUUGAAUUCAGUGAGUAGAGUUAUCUAAAGAUUAUUGCCACUGAAGAGUAGUCCUAUUCAAAGGGAUUUUUUUCAUAAAAGAUUUUGAAAUGUUUAUAUAGUCAAAAAAUAUGCCUAUGUAUAUUUUUAAAUGUCUUCUAAGUUUUAAAAAUCAUAUUGAGGAAGAUCUUCCCAAUUCUAAAAUAAUGCACAACUCUUAAUUGUCUUUUUUCUUUUAUUACAUUGAAAUCCUUUGGGGAUUUGAGAGUGAGGAUGAGAUGGUUAGGUAGCAUCAUCGACUCAAUGGACAUGAAGUUGAGCAAGCUCCAGGAGACAUGAAGGACAGGAGAGCCUGGCGUGCUGCCAGCCAUGGGGUCACAGAGUUGGACCUGACUUAGCUACUGAACAGCAACAACAAUGGACUGAGGUAGGGAUCUAGCUUUGUUUCCUUCAAGCAGUUGUAGCAGCGUCAUUUAUUAAAUAUAUCUCUUUUCCCCUGUGGUUGGGGAAAUACACAUUGUACAUUUUUCAUACCCUAUCAUUUCACUCAGACGUUCUGUACAACUUUAUGAUGGAAAAGAGGGCAGUUCCAGGUUUGUGUGGCUCCUGGGCACUGCACUUACAGGUUGAGCCAUUGGCUGGAGUUAGGGAGGCAGGGUCUGGUCUUAUCUUUCCUAUUGUUACAAUGUUGUCCAGUAAAUGAAUGGAAGGAGAGUCUAGGCUAUUCAAGAUGGAAAAGACCUCACAGAAAAACAGAAUUUUCUUCAUUUUAAGAAAAAGAGAUUUUGUUUCUCAUAAGCGGCCCCUGGCACUGUUUCAGUGCCAGGGGUUUGGAUUCAGUUGAAACUUCACACUUGAUAAAGAAAUGCUUUCAGCAACUCAGAAUAAUCCGGAGGGGAGGUUUAGCCCUCCCCUUCCUUCUUCUGUUUCCCAUGCCCCUUGUUCUUAGCUCGUUUUCUCUCCUCAUUUGCCCCUGUAUUGAAAAGAACCUUGUAGCGUUUAAAAGUGCUUCCUGCAUGGCCUUAUUUUCAAAAUUUUCACUGGAGACGUUUGGUGUGUUUUAGGUGAGGCCACGCUGUCUCCCCUUGGCUCCUGGCCGCUCUCAUUUUCUCCAUUGACUUGCUUUGCUCUUCUCCCUCCUCUCAAACCCCUGUCCUUUCACCUUCUGUUUCUCUCUUUCCGCUAAACUUCCUCUCCUCUCAACCUUCCCACCUCCCCCACCACCAGCAGCCUUUCUCCCCAAACACACCACAGGAGAGAGGAGAGUGGUGGGAGGUUUAAGUUCAUUACCCAUAAAGUAGCUUUUCUUAUCAAUGCAUAUUCCUUUGUUUCAAUGAAAGAAGAAAAGUAAAAAUCUAAAACCCAUCACUUUGUAGUUAGCCCAGUUUUCCUGUCUGCCCUAGUGUGUCUUAGAAGUCUCACUCAGAUAUUUAUCACCUUGAUUGUAAAAUGUAGCAAACCCAAAGCUAAUGCCUUUCAGAGAGUAGCUCUCUUUAAAAAACAAAUUUCUCUAUUUUUUUUUAAUUGGCAUAUAAUCAGAGAGUAGCUCUUAAUAUACAACUUUUCACAUUUGUGUGCCCUUGUCCCAUAGGGGUAGUAGGCAUAUCGUGCCCAGGCUUUCAGGUAAGGAGUGAGCACAGAUUAAAGGGACUUCCAAUCUGUUUUUAUAAAAUUGUGUUUUCUACAUGAGUCUCUCCCACAAAAGGGUUUAGACAUAAGUAAAAAUCUGCGCAGUCUUUGUGAAAGUAAUUUUAAGCCUGAUGUUUUUGGGGGAAAGUUACAGAAUGCUUCUACGUAAUAGAGGUUAAACAGGUAAACUAAAGACAUUUACUCUGGUUUUGAUCAGAAUGAAAAGAAGAAGAAAAAUCUGAAGUAGCAACUUGGAGAGAAAUAUAACAGUCAAGUUAGCCUGAAGUUCUGGAGCUGAAGUGGUAGAGCAUAACAGACUCAGCUGAGGUCUGACUCAGAGAUAAGAAAGAGCUCUGAGUUAGGGAAGACUUAUUCUAAGGAAGACUAUUGAUAAGACGAGGAUUACAGUAAACUGUGACAGAUAUGUGACGAGUGAAUGUUAAUGAGAAGACAUCAAAUUGUAUCUUAGGUUUUUGUUUUUUUUUUUACAGCACAGUAUGUGACCUUUCUGUAAUUUCUUGAUGCCUAUAGAACAGCAUUACAUUAGGUAGUUUCAUAGUUUUUGGUUUAAAAAUAAAAGAAUGAAAACUUA
Molecule: long non-coding RNA, 2327 nt
Organism: Capra hircus (goat)
Lineage: Eukaryota; Metazoa; Chordata; Mammalia; Artiodactyla; Bovidae
Exons: 2
Source: RefSeq, a predicted model, not a curated record